RNAcentral lists this ribosomal RNA (352 nucleotides) under uncultured bacterium. RNAcentral describes it as "partial 16S ribosomal RNA". It matches the Rfam family "Bacterial small subunit ribosomal RNA", at positions 338 to 682 of the family's 1533-position model. The record is from RNAcentral.
CCUACGGGAGGCAGCAGUGGGGAAUAUUGCGCAAUGGGCGAAAGCCUGACGCAGCGACGCCGCGUGAGGGAUGAAGGUCUUCGGAUCGUAAACCUCUGUCAGCAGGGAAGAACGGUCACUGGGCUAAGCAGCAGUGAAUUGACGGUACCGGCAAAGGAAGCACCGGCUAACGCCGUGCCAGCAGCCGCGGUAAGACGGAGGGUGCGAGCGUUAAUCGGAAUUACGGGGUGUAAAGGGUGCGUAGGCGGCCCUGCAAGUCAGAAGUGCAAUCCAUGGGCUUAACCCGUGAACUGCUUUUGACACUGUCGGGCUUGAGUGCAGUAGCGGCAGGCGGAAUUCCCGGUGUAGCGGU